AUGAACGCUGGCGGCGUGCCUUACACAUGCAAGUCGAGCGAGGCCAGGGGGCAACCCCUGAGUCGAGCGGCGAACGGGUGAGUAACGCGUGGGUCAUCUACCUCGAGGUGGGGGAUAACCCGGGGAAACUCGGGCUAAUACCGCAUAACAUCUACGGAUCAAAGAGGGCCGCAAGGCUCUCGCCAUGAGAGGAGCCCGCGUACGAUUAGCUAGUUGGCAGGGUAAUGGCCUACCAAGGCGACGAUCGUUAGCCGGCCUGAGAGGGUGAUCGGCCACACUGGAACUGAGACACGGUCCAGACUCCUACGGGAGGCAGCAGUGGGGAAUUUUGCGCAAUGGGCGAAAGCCUGACGCAGCAACGCCGCGUGGAGGAUGAAGGUCUUUGGAUUGUAAACUCCUGUCAGCAGGGAAAAAGCGAAUCGACCUAAUACGUCGGUGAGUUGAUUGUACCUGCAGAGGAAGCCCCGGCUAACUCUGU
RNAcentral lists this ribosomal RNA (478 nucleotides) under uncultured bacterium. RNAcentral's name for it is "bacterial SSU rRNA". It matches the Rfam family "Bacterial small subunit ribosomal RNA", at positions 29 to 506 of the family's 1533-position model. The record is from RNAcentral.